Molecule: ribosomal RNA, 459 nt
Filed under: uncultured bacterium
Lineage: Bacteria
Description: partial 16S ribosomal RNA
Rfam family: Bacterial small subunit ribosomal RNA
Source: RNAcentral
CCUACGGGAGGCAGCAGUGAGGAAUAUUGGUCAAUGGGCGAGAGCCUGAACCAGCCAAGUCGCGUGAGGGAAGACGGUCCUAUGGAUUGUAAACCUCUUUUGCCGGGGAGCAAAACGCGGUACGUGUACCGCAUCGAGCGUACCCUGAGAACAAGCAUCGGCUAACUCCGUGCCAGCAGCCGCGGUAAUACGGAGGAUGCGAGCGUUAUCCGGAUUUAUUGGGUUUAAAGGGUGCGCAGGCGGCGAGUUAAGUCAGCGGUAAAAUUUCGGGGCUCAACCCCGACAAGCCGUUGAAACUGGCGUGCUAGAGUGGGCGAGAAGUAUGCGGAAUGCGUGGUGUAGCGGUGAAAUGCAUAGAUAUCACGCAGAACUCCGAUUGCGAAGGCAGCAUACCGGCGCCCAACUGACGCUCAGGCACGAAAGCGUGGGUAUCGAACAGGAUUAGAUACCCCGGUAGUC